UACGUAGGGUGCGAGCGUUAAUCGGAAUUACUGGGCGUAAAGCGUGCGCAGGCGGUUUCCUAAGACAGAUGUGAAAUCCCCGGGCUCAACCUGGGAACUUCGUUUGUGACUGUGUGACUAGAGUACGGCAGAGGGGGGUGGAAUUCCUGGUGUAGCAGUGAAAUGCGUAGAUAUCAGGAGGAACAUCGAUGGCGAAGGCAGCCCCCUGGGCCUGUACUGACGCUCAUGCACGAAAGCGUGGGGAGCAAACAGG
RNAcentral lists this ribosomal RNA (253 nucleotides) under uncultured bacterium. RNAcentral describes it as "partial 16S ribosomal RNA". It matches the Rfam family "Bacterial small subunit ribosomal RNA", at positions 524 to 776 of the family's 1533-position model. The record is from RNAcentral.